RNAcentral lists this ribosomal RNA (492 nucleotides) under uncultured bacterium. RNAcentral describes it as "partial 16S ribosomal RNA". It matches the Rfam family "Bacterial small subunit ribosomal RNA", at positions 29 to 507 of the family's 1533-position model. The record is from RNAcentral.
AGUGAACGCUGGCGGUAGGCCUAACACAUGCAAGUCGAACGGCAGCACAGUAAGAGCUUGCUCUUACGGGUGGCGAGUGGCGGACGGGUGAGGAAUACAUCGGAAUCUACUUUUUCGUGGGGGAUAACGUGGGGAAACUUACGCUAAUACCGCAUACGACCUACGGGUGAAAGCAGGGGAUCUUCGGACCUUGCGCGAUUGAAUGAGCCGAUGUCGGAUUAGCUAGUUGGCGGGGUAAAGGCCCACCGAGGCGACGAUCCGUAGCUGGUCUGAGAGGAUGAUCAGCCACACUGGAACUGAGACACGGUCCAGACUCCUACGGGAGGCAGCAGUGGGGAAUAUUGGACAAUGGGCGCAAGCCUGAUCCAGCCAUACCGCGUGGGUGAAGAAGGCCUUCGGGUUGUAAAGCCCUUUUGUUGGGAAAGAAAAGCAGCAGGUUAAUACCCCGCUGUUCUGACGGUACCCAAAGAAUAAGCACCGGCUAACUUCGUG